RNAcentral lists this long non-coding RNA (5397 nucleotides) under Bubo bubo (Eurasian eagle-owl). RNAcentral describes it as "lncRNA (ENSBOBG00000005617.1)". The record is from RNAcentral. Lineage: Eukaryota; Metazoa; Chordata; Aves; Strigiformes; Strigidae.
CCUAUAAGGGAUCUGUAAUACUAAAGCUGCUUGCAUGCAUUACUAAUACAAAACAAAAAAUGUGAUCAAGCCACUUACCUACUGAACUGCUACUGUUGCCUGAAAAAAAUGUGAUUUUUAUUCUGCUUGUAUUUAAAAUUUAUGAAGGAAAUAAUCGCAUUCGUUAUACUGUAAACGACUAGGUCUGUGGCGACCUACUUAAAAAAAAAUAUUGGGCUCCUUUUUUGAUAUUCCUGAGGUUAGUCUAUAAGAUUGUAGCUUUUUCUUUUUUUUUUCUUUUUUUUUUUUUAUUUUAAGAAGGGGAGGAGAAAAGCUAGCCACCCCCCCCCAACCACCACCACCCCCUGUCAUCACCACCCCAUCCAUUACUCAGCUCAGAAGUAAAGCCAUCGUUAACCUUGUCCUCUAAAGAAAGUUUUACCGUCACUUAACAGGAAAGCAAGGUGUGUUAGGGUACAGGUGCUGUGACUGGCGAUGUUUGUCUCUAGCAGAAGGGCUCUAGCCAAGUGGGACAGGGUGGGGGAAAUCGUUAAAGGCUUCUGGUGUUGGAGGGAGCCCCUUGCCGUGGGCGCUGCGGGGCAGGGUGCUGCGGGGNUCAUCACCACCCCAUCCAUUACUCAGCUCAGAAGUAAAGCCAUCGUUAACCUUGUCCUCUAAAGAAAGUUUUACCGUCACUUAACAGGAAAGCAAGGUGUGUUAGGGUACAGGUGCUGUGACUGGCGAUGUUUGUCUCUAGCAGAAGGGCUCUAGCCAAGUGGGACAGGGUGGGGGAAAUCGUUAAAGGCUUCUGGUGUUGGAGGGAGCCCCUUGCCGUGGGCGCUGCGGGGCAGGGUGCUGCGGGGCAGGGUGCUGUGGCGCCCAGCCGCUGCCGGAGGCUGGUGGGGACUCGGAGCCGUUGUCUCGGGGAGUUUUAUCCCGUUCCCGGGAGCAGGGAUGGUUCCGCGGGAGUUCAGGCUUGCAUGUGUCGGGAGGACUGUGUGGGAUGCAGGUGGAGACCCUGGCCGGUGUUGUGGUUGUUGUUGUUGGUUUUUUUUCCCAAUACGGCUGGGUUUUGGGUUUGGUUUCUCUGUCCCUUCCUCCCAGCAACUCCUUUUCGUUUGCUUCUCCUUGCUUGCACCUUCACGCCACCCGCUUCUUGGGCGAAUGGACUUGCGUCACCCCACCGCACCUGGGCACGCAGGCAGGCGGGCCAAGUCCCAGGGCCACCUUCUGGGGGGGCACAUAGCCCCCCUCAGCCACCUGCGAAGGGCUUCGGAGAGGAAUCUGAGCACGGAAAACACGUUGUUCUUCCUCCCAAGGGCACGGAGCCGGGAGCUCUUGGCGUUGGCUCCCGGCAGCAUCCGCACCGNNNNNNNNNNNNNNNNNNNNNNNNNNNNNNNNNNNNNGCCGGCGUGCGGGGCUUGCCUGCUGCCCCCUCCCCUCCUCCCCAGGCAGCCAUGCUCUCACUUUAAUAAUUUGGAGUAUAUUGGAUGCAAAAAAGUUUAAAAAAAAAAAAAAAUUAGCUUUGUGCCCUUCUGUGAAGAGGUUUUGGGGAGGAGGAAGCGUUUCGCUUCUUGCUCAUCCUCCAGACAGGCCCUUCUGGGGAAAAGCCCAAUGUUGAGUUAUUUGUCUUAUUUUUUUUGUUGUUGAAAGCUGAUGUCCCCAGGCUCUGUUGGCUUUGGUGGCCCCAGCUGGCCUCGGCUUGAUGAUGCGGGCGCUGGGGUGGGACCUGCGGGUGCCCCUGGAGCCUGGCCAGGCAGUGGGUACCAGCUCACCCCCGGCUCGCUGCGUCGACUCUGCCCAUUUGCCCUUAGAAAUCCCCCAGAAUGACCGGAAUCCUUUCGCAGAGCUGGCUCCCACACGGCGCUGGGCGCAGGUCUGUCUCGCUGCAGCGUUGUCCUGGGUCGGGGGGUGCCGGGCACCCACAAGGAUGCUGAGGUCGAAGUGUCCCCAAGGGCUGGGGGCAGUGAUGUGAAAGCCAAGUAUGGCUUUUUUUCUUUUUAAUUAUUAUUUUUACUGUGACUAAACGGCCUGCUUUAAUGAUAUUUUCAGCUUGUUCUUUAACAAGUUUGGGACUAUGAACGAGUGCACCGAGAGUCACUUUUGAAGGCUGUUGUGGCUGUGCUCUUCUUUUCUUUCCUGCUUUGGUUCCUGAAUCCAGACAGCGCUUUGCUCAGGGUUUUCUUCCUUCUUUGUAUUUCCAAGGGGGAAGGGGGAGAGGAUAACCCAGCUUUUGGCUACUUGUUUUGUUUUCUUUGAUACUUGAAGCAGUUUUUUUGCAUCCUAAUAACAAAGCUGUCCGGCGCUUCGCCUGUUCCACUGCUCCUUGCCCUGCAGGAAAAAAAAAAAAAAAAAAUCAAUGCCAGGGUCUUGCACAGGUCUCAGUUUUUAGCACAGCUUGACUUGGGCGGACCACGAUGCUCCAGACCGGGUGCUCUGCUGCCGGUGGUGUGGGGGGCUGGUGGGGGUGGCAGCACGAUGAGCCGGUGCAGAGGCGCGUGAUGCCUCGGAGGAGCGGGGACAAGCACGGCCGGGGGUUCUAUUUGCACUUUACCCACGUCAGCAAGCAAAGCUCGCGCUCUUGCCGAAGUGGGGGGCACGCGGGGGCAUGCUGUGCACGGGGGGGGACACGCGACCAGAGGACAGACAUGAGCAGGGGGUGUAUGGGGACCAGCGGGCUGAUCUGGGGGGGGGCUUCUUCCCCAGAGAGCCCCCAGGAGAUGGAGGGAGCCAGUUCCUCGGCCCUGGGGGUGCCCCUGUCCCUGCAGGAGUGGCUGCUGGGGGGCCAGCUCUUGGGCAGCUCAGCUGGCUUGGUGGGGAUCGGGGGGGUCGGGUUUGGCUGAAGACCCUCCUGAUCCCCCAUCGCCUCCCCAGAAGUUUGGGUUUGCCAAAAGUUUGAGGCAAGCUGGGAGCGGAUCCGGGUGUCGGAGAUCAAGUCGUCCCUUCCGUGUGUGUCUGUGUGCGUGUGUAUAUAUAUACAUAUAUAUAUAUAAAAAAGAGAUUGCAAAGGAUUCCUCCUCCUUUUUGGCACUCGCUGGGGUUUGGUGAGCAGGCCAAGGGGUUCACAGUUGGCUGUAGGUAUUAAUUCUGGACCAAACCCGUGCCCAGACAGACGGCCCUGGCCGGGGGGGCCACCGCGGGGGGGGGGCAGCAGCAGAAGUACUUGAAUGGCUUAGGACAGAGAGUCUGAAGAGAGUCAAGUUGCACAGUGAAAAUAUAUAUUUUUAUACCUAGCACAACUUCCUGUAUAUUUUUGGGGUUUUUUCUUUCUUUUUUUUUUCUUUCCUUUUUUUUUUUUUGAUUUGGGUUUGUUUGUUUUAUUAAUUAUUAUUAUUAGGAAGGCAAACUUCUAAAAUGUGAAGGGCGUUGGGUUUUUCCUUAUCUGGUAGAUGAGGGCAAGCAUUUUGCACUAAUGUUUCCUGUGUGUGGAGGAUUAAUGAUAUGUUUGAAAAUGUUAUAUGGUAAUGAUUGUAUUCUUCCGAAAAAAAAAAAAAAAAAAACCAAACAAAAAAAGUAACCCCUUUAAAAUACUGAAUGUAAGGUGAGAACAGAGCAGUCCAUCGAUUGUAUGCGGCUUUCCUGAGUGCCUUAGAAUUUUUUGAUCAUUUUUUCCAAGGAAAACAGAUUAAGAAGAUCAGAUCAUAACCGACUCCUUCCUCCUCUUUGUUUACGACACUAUUUUAAAUUAUAGAAUUUGGGGCUGCUUUAUAAUGUGAAUAGGAAACUGCAUUCAUCUAGGUCUGAUAGUGUAAAAUCAAAGCAUCAGUAUUUAUGGUAUGUCUGCACCUUUAUUCUUAUGCUUGACUAUUAGCAAUAUUACAUGUAUAUUAUAUAUCUAAAGUUAUACCAAGCACCUUUAAAGAAAACGGAGUGUAAGCAUACAAGUUACCUGCAGCUGCCAUAUAGUGUAGAAGCCAGCCCCUCUCCUCAUUAGCGCCAAUUAACACCACCACCCCGAGAGCUGCGCUUUGCAGAAGGGUGCAUGACCUUCUGCCACACCCCGGGCCUGCGUCUCGGUGUCCNUGGUGGCGGUGAUGCCAGCGCAGGUGGGAGCUGCCCGCGGCGGGGGCUCGGGAGGAGGGGUGGCAGAAGAUGGGGGAGUGGGUCCUUUUUGCCACCUUGAUGGUUUAAUUCUUCUAACUGUGGUUUCACCGUAGAAAUUCCCCCGGGGGGACCGGGGGGGAUGUGGGGCUGGUGGCGGGGAGCCUGGCCAUGGGUGACACGCCCCGGGGCUCCCUUCCUCCGGCCGGGUGAGGGGCUCAACCCAACCUGGCCCCCCAAAACUGGAAUUACCCACGGCUUAACCGGCGUUUGAGGGAGCAGAGCACCCGAGCCGUGGUGUUACGCAGGGGGCCGCCGCCUCCCCUCAGCCCUUUGCCACCGGGGUUUUGCUCAAAUCGCUUGUUUUUCUGGAAAUAGCUCGCUGCGAGUGGAGAAGGGCCAACAGGAAACCGGGACGAGCCCCGGCAGUUACUCCCCACCACCACAUUGCCAGUCCGCAGCCAUCUCGGCCUUCAUCUGCUGUUCAAAGUGUUCUGCUGUCUGAAUCGGUCGUGCUGUGAGCAAGCGAGCCCCGAGCGCGCGGGGUNNNNNNNNNNNNNNNNNNNGCGGGGGGGAAGCGAGCGGGGAGCUCCCCGGCCCCGCUCGCUCGGGGGGCUGACGUCUAACGCACUCACAUUGGAAACCCCUCAACUCCUCCGAUGAGUUUCUUCCACUGUUAAAGCGUUUUGCACACAAAAUUGUGAUUUUUAUGUCAAGGUAAAAGCCAAAACUUGCAAUACUAUUUUUAGCAGACGGGAAAAAAAAAAAAAAAAAGAAUAAAUAAAUAAAUAAAAAACAACUGAGUAUAAAUGUAUAAAUAUUUUUGACUUGAACAUUUGGAUGGCACUUGAUUCAAAUAGAACAUUAAUCCUUUGGACAGAAUGUUUGGGAAAAAAAGGACUUAAAGUACAAGGUUGUUUUUAAAGCGUCUUCAUAGGGUAUUAAGUAGUACUGUAAUUCAUGACUGUUAAAAAUACUUUCUGUGCUGUAAGGAAAUCUCACAGUACCACUGAAUUAUGUUCCUCAACUGUCUCAGCCACGAACGAUGCUAGCUUCUUUUUUUUUUUUUUUUUUUUAUUGUGCAUUAUUCACUAGUAUUUAUGUGCUCUUACUCUGUAUAGUUAAGACUGUUAUUUUGUAGCCAUGGCUGACACGAUAUAUCAGUAACUAAAAAAAAAGAGAAAAGAUUAAGACCCCCGAGUUGGAACUGUGCUCAUAGCUGUUUUCAUAUGAUGAAAAAUCCAUUUAAAAAAAAACCCCAAUGUGAUCAUUAAUUGUAAAACGCUUUGUAAAAUUCACAUUUACAAAAUAAUAAAGUAAAUUACAAUUAAACGCUUUUCUUUCCUCUGUUUUCUUUCUUCUGGGUCGUGGAUGCUG